GCCCUGAUAGUAUAAACAUUACACU
Molecule: transfer RNA, 25 nt
Filed under: Myodes glareolus (Bank vole)
Lineage: Eukaryota; Metazoa; Chordata; Mammalia; Rodentia; Cricetidae
Description: partial tRNA-Thr
Source: RNAcentral